UUUUUCUAGAGGGACAAAAUAUGAAAGAUUAAUAAUAUCCGAGCAUUUUAACGUAACACACCGGGGCAUAGGAAACUCACUUGUAGGAGGUGGUCGUCACAACCAAAAUACAUCAUAUUUCAACAUGCAAAUAUUACUCUGAGGCAUACACCUCAUGUAUUAUGUAUAUAUCUCUGACUUUUUGUCGUUGUUGCAUGCGGAGUAUUUGUGCCAAUCAACAAUUCUACAUUUAUUCCAAUCACCAAUUUCUAUUUUUGUUUCUAUAAAACCUUUCCAAUCAUAUAGCCAACCACNNN
Molecule: long non-coding RNA, 296 nt
Filed under: Capsicum annuum
Lineage: Eukaryota; Viridiplantae; Streptophyta; Magnoliopsida; Solanales; Solanaceae
Description: long non-coding RNA (CANN_LNC003953)
Source: RNAcentral